Molecule: long non-coding RNA, 2946 nt
Organism: Cavia porcellus (domestic guinea pig)
Lineage: Eukaryota; Metazoa; Chordata; Mammalia; Rodentia; Caviidae
Exons: 4
Source: RefSeq, a predicted model, not a curated record
UUCACCUUCGGAGUCCGAGAUCGUUUCCUCAAUUUUAUUUUUUUGAUUGUUGCUAACUGAUCGAAAUGAAAUCACCACAGUGUGGUAUCCCCACACCCCUGUGCGAAUGGUAUCAAAAACAGUACAGAUAAUUGGUGCCGGCAGGAGGUAGAGAAAGCUUUACCCACCGUUGGUGGGAGUGCAAACUCCUGCAGCUGUGCGAAAUUUCCUGAAAAUAAAGUCAGAAGCACCGCGUGGGGAUUCAGCAGUCUCACUGCAGGCUGUGUGUCCAGGGGAGGUAGCGCCAGAUGCCUGCACGCCGAGUUCCUUGCAGCCCUAUAAUGGGAGCAAGUGUCCAGCAGUGACGAGCUGAGGAGGGUCUGAUGGACCUGUCUACACGGCGGGCGAGCCUUCUGCCCUGAAGGACAAAGGCAUUCUGCCAGGAGCGACAAGAUGGCUAGAACGUGAAGUUUUUAUGGCGAGUGCAAUAAGCCAGGCUCAGAGAGACAAAUGUGCAAUCUAAAAAAGUUGAGCUCCAAGAAGUCGAGAGUGUGAUGGUGGCUACGGUGAGCCCGGGGCCUGGGGGAGUGAGUUAGAGAACAGUAGGAAGGAUUGACGAUGAGUACUAAUUUACUGCUAGGAGCAGAAAGUUCUGGUGUGCUGUUGCACAUUAAGACUGUAGAUAAUGUAUAUUUCACAAAGUUAAAGCAAAGGAUUUUGGACAUUUUCUCCGUAAUGAAGUGUUUACUGAAGAGUUUGAUAUAUUCAACCUGAUUUAAGCAUCACACAAUGUAUCAUGCAUUGACAUAUGGUACCCCAUUAAUAUAUAUUAUUUUUAUGGAUGUAUAUUCAACCUGAUUUAAGCAUCACACAAUGUAUCAUGCAUUGACAUAUGGUACCCCAUUAAUAUAUGUUAUUUUUAUGGAUGUAUGUGUCCAUUAAAAAUAAAGUCUAAAAAUUGAUUUUUGUAUAUUGACCAUGCGUCUUAUGGCCUUUUAAACUUACAUCGUAAAUUGUAGUAGGUUUGUUUUAUUUUUUAACUUGCAAGUAAAACUUACUUCUUCCUUUCCAAUCUAUUUGUCUUUAUUAAUAUUUUUCUGUUAUUGGCUAGACUCCUCCAAUACAAUGUUGAAUGUAAAUGAUCAGAAUGACAUCUUUGUUUUGCUCAUAAUAGAGGGAAAGCAUUCAGUCUUCCAUAUUCUGUGUAGUAUUAAUUACUAUUUUUUCAGAGAUGCUCCUUAGUAGAUCAAGGAAGUUUGUUGAGAGUUUGCUUUUCCUGCAUCAAGGUUGUUGGGCGCAGGUGCUCAACAUACCAUACCCCACCCGGGACUAAGGACCACGCCAGCUUCCGCAAUGCGCUACGUCCCUCUCCAAAUUAGUCACCCUGUACUCACUUCAUAUUCACCACAGCUGAGUAUAUUAGCCAGAGCCCGUGUCUCAUUCCAGCCCUUCCUUCUCGUGGCAGCCCUCGUGGCAGCCUGAUUGGCUACAGUCAGAUAUAUAAGCCAGAACCCACAACAAUAAAGUUGGCAGUUCCUGUUACCCACCUGAAGUGUUUACUGUCUCAUUGGGGAGCUGCACCGGUCAAAGAUAAACAAGCAUGAAGACUUUGGAGAUACAGAAGCCUGGUGCGGUUUCUCCUUGGGCAGAAGGGAGUUGGCCAAGAAAUAGCAAACGGUGCCUCGUUGUUGGUUCCUGCUGCCCAAAGGACUUCCACUGAAGCUCACCGCUGACGGGGAAAUCAAGACUGUCUGGCCCUCUGCACCUGGCUGCCUCGAGAAUCCCAGAGUCUGCUCAGGACAACACAGAGCCUUAAUAUUGGAAUUACAGUUAUUGAAAGUCUGAAAAAGAGUCACAGAAGCUUGAAAAAAAAACACGCAUUACAAAAGGAGCCAUUGUUGAAAUGUGAAUCUUUGUGUAAGCCAAAAUCGCCAGUGAGAAGCAUUCUCUAUUUCAAUCAAACAAUCGGUCCUUGUGCAGGAGACAAUGCUGGCUACUCAGGCCGGGAAGCUUGGUCCCCAUGGCAAUGGCAAUGGCAAUGGCAAUGCUUUCUCCUGCUGUACUCUGCUGCCCCACACAGCAGCAGUGUCUGGAGGAGCCAGGGCCCCACCUCGCCCAGGACCUUGGCCCCUGAACAGCUGCCAUGAGCCAGGGAAACAGACCUGGCCCAGACGCCAGCUCUUCCUUCAGUCACCAUGAGCCUGGACUCUCCCCGGAAGUCGUGCUGAUGAGAUAUAAGAAUGAAGGAGGAGAAAGAUAAAAAUAAGACAUGGCUGAAAUUCUUCAGAUGAGUCCUCUCCUCUUAGGGAGUGUGGAAAUGGGUGUUCCUAACACCUCUUGCUCAUGAGGAAAAUUCGUGAAUCAGACUGUGUUUAAAUCUUCCCCCUCAGCAGCUGGCGGCUCUUAAGGAAAUUUGUUUACCUCUCCGAGUUUCAUUUCCUUCAUCUGAAAAAUGGGAUUAAUAACACAUCUCAGAGAACUGCUGGAAGAAUUAAGUCACUUGGAUAUAAAAAUGUGCUCAAUAAAAACAAGCAUUAUUCUUUUAUCACGUAAAGAAUUGCCUUCAGAGCCUAUGAGUAUCUUCAGAGAUUCUGAGUUUCAUUUUUCAAGAGAAAAUUUGAUUUCUGCAACAGCUGAUGUGAUGUGAUUGUGGAGCUAGAGAAUAAUGUGUGUAAUAAAUGCUUUAUCUUACUUCUUGGAAAGGAAUGAUCUGUCUUAAGCACUAAGGCUUGAUUCUACAAAUAACUUGUAAACUGACCUUGACUCAUUGGAUCUAUUUCCAAACCAUAUCCAGAAUCCAAUCACUUCUCACUCUCCCUUGCUGACCCCUGUUCCAAUCAAAGCCAUCACUUUCUUUUUCCUGGAUUGUUGUAAAUGACUCUGGCUUUCCUGGUCUCACUAUGCCCUACAAAUAUUUUGAGCAAUGGCUGCGUCAUUGGAAUAAAUGCAUCAUCUCCCCCAGAGGCA